GGAGAACCUGUUGAGUGUGUAACAAUAAACAAGUAAGUGGAAGAGGCCCCCUGAGAUGGAGGGUGGGGAAGGUUGUGGAGACCUCGGCCUUUGCCGCUCCUCCAGAGGCCGUGACAGAGAUAGCUCAGGGCCAGCCUGGCCUGCAGAGGGCUUCUCUGGGGGAUACUGGGUAGCAGAACACCAUCUGCCCUGGGCCUCGGCACAGGAAGUUGCCUGGAAGCUUCCCCACAUCAGGGAUUGGGUCCCUAGGGCCGGGGUUGCUGGGCUCAGAUGGCCUGACAAACACCCUCUCAACUCUGCGGAGGACUAAAUUGCCCUUCCCCUCCCUGUGCAGGUACUAUUCCAGCAAAGCUCCCCCUUUCCCAGGCUGCUCAGAUUCAUUUAAGUGAAGCCUGGGGGAGCCCAGCCAGAGCUGAGGAGAGCAGUACCUCGGGACCUCCCCUCCGUCGCCCCCAGAGUCAGCUUCUAGCUCAGACCCAAGAGGAUGAAGUUCUAGGGGAACUAGUCCCUAGUGGGCGGGCGAGGUAGUGGGCUAGGGGGAAGAGUAGGCGGCUCCGGCUGGGGCUGGCAUAGCUGGAGAUGCAGACUGUGGGGGCAGGCGGUUCCCCUCGGGCUUUUCUGAGUCGGAAUUAUGUAUUCUAUUCUCACGGGAAGCUUGAAGCUGCUUCAGGCACCAACCUUGGCAAUUUCAAUUCCACCAGUCUAAGACAAGACCCUGACAGUCCCUCAAGUACCCACAUUCCUCUGAACUGUUUAAGCAAGAGAAACCCAGGUAAUUUUUCUGUUAAAGUACUUAAUAUUAACUUCAUCUGCUCUGAGAAGAUCAAUUUCCUGACAACUCUAACGUCUCCUCUUGCUCCACUGACAGAUGCAAUUAUUCAAUUAAGGAUGAAAAAGUAAGAGGAAAGCUAUAAUUGCCCACAGAUGCUCCAGCAUGCUGGAUCUCUACAUCGUUAUGCCUAAGAAGAAUGGACAACCCAAUUGAAGAGGAAACAAUGGCACUUGGGAAAAAUGGUCAAGGGAGCGCCUACUAAUUUAUCGGGAGGAUUAUUAAAUGUGUUUCCAGGACUUCCUUGCUUAAUACCUUUGAUUAGGUCCCCAGAUGAGCCAAAGCUAGGUUAAUGAACCCAUUUGUUACAUUUGGGUUGGGCCACUCUGAUAUCCGAUGGCAUCUGGACGCUAACGUAACGCUGACUAGUGGAACAAGUGCACUGCAGUAAUGAGCCCUGAGUGAUGGUGCAGAUCAGUGUUAUGAAUCUCCUCCUUCCUCAAUUCAGCAUUCUUGUAAACAACAUAUUUCCUGCAGCCACCGAGAUUUAAUUAGCAAAUGAGAUAUUUACAAUAUUAAGGACUAAUUCACCCACGUACAUAUGUGAGAGGGAGAAAAUAGUCUGGUAAUCCAACUAUGCGGAGUAAAUGACAGUAAAACAGAUCACUUUUCAUCUGAAUCUGCCUGACUCAGAAGUCUAAUUUCCGCAUCCAGUACAACAGCCUCUGUCUUUGCCAGGACACUCCCAGAGUAGUCAGCAAUUCUCAGCUGUGGCUCAGAGUAAACUGCCCACGUUCUGUUCUGCCUCGAGGCUCUGAUUCACAGAUUUAGAACUUGAAGGAGACGGAAGGGGUCAUCAAGUCUGAAACCUUCAUCUUAUCGAUGAGGAGAAUGAGGCUGGAGAAUUGAAGUGACUCACCCAAGGUCAAACAGUUUUCUUAAAGGAACUUUGCUGGCGGCGCACUGACAUUUAGGUCUUAGCUCUCUUCCUUUCAGCCCUGGCCCCUGCCUGGCAGUUCUAUGCCUAGGGCUUUCCAGCUCAAAACCUAGACUCUAUAUUGUUUCAAAUAUGCUAGAACAGCUUUGUUACAAAUAGUUCGUGUUUCAUUUAUAAAACAAAGAGAUUGAACUCAAUGUCUCCAAAGAUCUUUCAGUCUUAAAUCUAUAAGCCUCGGAAACUUUUUUGACCUUAACAACGAGAACAGACAAUUCCAUAGAAACCAUACAAAGAAGAUCCUUCUCCUGGGAAAGGUUAGCUGUUCAGCUGGAGAAAUGUCAAUUCCUUGAGAGCUGGACCAAUUUUUCAUUUCUCUUGUGGUAUUCCCAGCACACAUCUCAUGCCUUUUUUUUUUUUCAUUUUUUUUAUGAGAAUGGGUCUCCCUAUUUUACCCAGGCUACAGCAGCCCCCUCCAGGUCAAUCUCACUAAUAGUCUGAUCUUCAAUGUGCCAUUUACAUUUAACAAUAAAGACUCCCUUAUGCCCUACUCA
RNAcentral lists this long non-coding RNA (2257 nucleotides) under Monodelphis domestica (gray short-tailed opossum). RNAcentral describes it as "lncRNA (ENSMODG00000045159.1)". Lineage: Eukaryota; Metazoa; Chordata; Mammalia; Didelphimorphia; Didelphidae. The record is from RNAcentral.